AACCGGGGGAACUGAAACAUCUAAGUACCCCGAGGAAAAGAAAUCAACCGAGAUUCCCCCAGUAGCGGCGAGCGAACGGGGAGCAGCCCAGAGUCUGAAUCAGCAUGUGUGGUAGUGGAACGGUCUGGAAAGUCCGACGGUACAGGGUGAUAGUCCCGUACACAAAAGUGCAUGUGUUGUGAACUCGAAGAGUAGGGCGGGACACGUGGUAUCCUGUCUGAAUAUGGGGGGACCAUCCUCCAAGGCUAAAUACUCCUGACUGACCGAUAGUGAACCAGUACCGUGAGGGAAAGGCGAAAAGAACCCCGGCGAGGGGAGUGAAAAAGAACCUGAAACCGUGUACGUACAAGCAGUGGGAGCCUCUUUAUGGGGUGACUGCGUACCUUUUGUAUAAUGGGUCAGCGACUUAUAUUCUGUAGCAAGGUUAACCGAAUAGGGGAGCCGAAGGGAAACCGAGUCUUAACUGGGCGUUAAGUUGCAGGGUAUAGACCCGAAACCCGGUGAUCUAGCCAUGGGCAGGUUGAAGGUUGGGUAACACUAACUGGAGGACCGAACCGACUAAUGUUGAAAAAUUAGCGGAUGACUUGUGGCUGGGGGUGAAAGGCCAAUCAAACCGGGAGAUAGCUGGUUCUCCCCGAAAGCUAUUUAGGUAGCGCCUCGUGAAUUCAUCUUCGGGGGUAGAGCACUGUUUCGGCUAGGGGGUCAUCCCGACUUACCAACCCGAUGCAAACUGCGAAUACCGAAGAAUGUUAUCACGGGAGACACACGGCGGGUGCUAACGUCCGUCGUGAAGAGGGAAACAACCCAGACCGCCAGCUAAGGUCCCAAAGUCAUGGUUAAGUGGGAAACGAUGUGGGAAGGCACAGACAGCCAGGAUGUUGGCUUAGAAGCAGCCAUCAUUUAAAGAAAGCGUAAUAGCUCACUGGUCGAGUCGGCCUGCGCGGAAGAUGUAACGGGGCUAAAC
This 964-nucleotide ribosomal RNA is filed under the name Citrobacter sp. Cb014. Its description in RNAcentral is "partial 23S ribosomal RNA". It matches the Rfam family "Bacterial large subunit ribosomal RNA", at positions 181 to 1187 of the family's 2925-position model. Lineage: Bacteria; Pseudomonadati; Pseudomonadota; Gammaproteobacteria; Enterobacterales; Enterobacteriaceae. The record is from RNAcentral.